CCACAUUUGGGAUGUGGAGGUCGUAGGUUCGAAUCCUGCCACCCCGA
Molecule: transfer RNA, 47 nt
Filed under: Sphingobacterium detergens
Lineage: Bacteria; Pseudomonadati; Bacteroidota; Sphingobacteriia; Sphingobacteriales; Sphingobacteriaceae
Description: tRNA-Pro
Rfam family: tRNA
About the family: Transfer RNA (tRNA) molecules are approximately 80 nucleotides in length. Their secondary structure includes four short double-helical elements and three loops (D, anti-codon, and T loops). Further hydrogen bonds mediate the characteristic L-shaped molecular structure. tRNAs have two regions of fundamental functional importance: the anti-codon, which is responsible for specific mRNA codon recognition, and the 3' end, to which the tRNAs corresponding amino acid is attached (by aminoacyl-tRNA synthetases). tRNAs cope with the degeneracy of the genetic code in two manners: having more than one tRNA (with a specific anti-codon) for a particular amino acid; and 'wobble' base-pairing, i.e. permitting non-standard base-pairing at the 3rd anti-codon position.
Source: RNAcentral